AAACUCGUACCUUUUGCAUCAUGAUUUAGCCAGAACCCCUCAAGCAAAGAGACCUUUAGUUUGACCCCCCGAAACUAGGUGAGCUACUCCAAGACAGCCUGUAAUAGGGCAAACCCGUCCCUGUGGCAAAAGGGUGGGAAGAGCUUCGAGUAGGGAUGACAGAUCUAUCGAACCUAGUUAUAGCUGGUUGCCUGAGAAUUGGAUAGAAGUUCAGCCUCUCGGUUUUUCCUGAAACCAAGAGAGUUAGUCAAAGGGGGUACAGCUCCUUUGAAACAAGACACAACUUUACCAGGAGGGUAAAGAUCAUAAUAACAUAAGGAAAAAUGUUCUGGUGGGCCUAAAAGCAGCCACCCCGAUAGAUAGCGUUAAAGCUCGUACACAUAAUUCCGAUAAUUCAAUCUUAACCCCCUAAUCCUACCAGGCCGUCCCAUGCAAACAUGGGAGCGAUUAUGCUAAUAUGAGUAACAAGAGAGCGUCUCUCUCCUGCACACGUGUAAGUCGAAAUGGACCCCCAUCGACCUUAACGGCCCCAAACAAAGAGGGAACUGGACUACAACAAGAAAAACCCCCACCGUUAACCCUACACUGGUGUGCUUCAAGGAAAGACUAAAAGAAAAAGAAGGAACUCGGCAAAUAGGCCUCGCCUGUUUACCAAAAACAUCGCCUCUUGCAAGAAUAAGAGGUCCCGCCUGCCCUGUGACUAUAUGUUUAACGGCCGCGGUAUCCUGACCGUGCGAAGGUAGCGUAAUCACUUGUCUUUUAAAUGGAGACCUGUAUGAAUGGCAUAACGAGGGCUUAACUGUCUCCUUUUUCCAGUCAAUGAAAUUGAUCUCUCCGUGCAGAAGCGGGGAUAAAAACAUAAGACGAGAAGACCCUAUGGAGCUUUAGACACUAAGGUAGAUCGUGUUAAGCACCCCCUGACAAAGGGCCAAACCCUAUGAAUCCUACCCUAAUGUCUUUGGUUGGGGCGACCGCAGGGAAAUAAAAAACCCCCGCGUGGAACGGGAGUACUCCUACUACCAAGAGCUACCGCUCUAAUAAACAGAAUCUCUGACCCAUUAGAUCCGGCAACGCCGAUUAACGAACCAAGUUACCCUAGGGAUAACAGCGCAAUCCUCUUUUAGAGCCCAUAUCGACAAGAGGGUUUACGACCUCGAUGUUGGAUCAGGACAUCCUAAUGGUGCAG
This 1186-nucleotide ribosomal RNA is filed under the name Kuhlia mugil (barred flagtail). RNAcentral's name for it is "partial 16S ribosomal RNA". It matches the Rfam family "Bacterial large subunit ribosomal RNA", at positions 595 to 2558 of the family's 2925-position model. Lineage: Eukaryota; Metazoa; Chordata; Actinopteri; Centrarchiformes; Kuhliidae. The record is from RNAcentral.